RNAcentral lists this ribosomal RNA (472 nucleotides) under uncultured bacterium. RNAcentral describes it as "partial 16S ribosomal RNA". It matches the Rfam family "Bacterial small subunit ribosomal RNA", at positions 28 to 507 of the family's 1533-position model. The record is from RNAcentral.
GAUGAACGCUGGCGGCGUGCCUAAUACAUGCAAGUCGAGCGAACGGACGAGAAGCUUGCUUCUCUGAUGUUAGCGGCGGACGGGUGAGUAACACGUGGAUAACCUACCUAUAAGACUGGGAUAACUUCGGGAAACCGGAGCUAAUACCGGAUAAUAUUUUGAACCGCAUGGUUCAAAAGUGAAAGACGGUCUUGCUGUCACUUAUAGAUGGAUCCGCGCUGCAUUAGCUAGUUGGUAAGGUAACGGCUUACCAAGGCAACGAUGCAUAGCCGACCUGAGAGGGUGAUCGGCCACACUGGAACUGAGACACGGUCCAGACUCCUACGGGAGGCAGCAGUAGGGAAUCUUCCGCAAUGGGCGAAAGCCUGACGGAGCAACGCCGCGUGAGUGAUGAAGGUCUUCGGAUCGUAAAAUUCUUUCACCGGGGACGAUAAUGACGGUACCCGGAGAAGAAGCCCCGGCUAACUUCGUG